UGGGGAAUAUUGGGCAAUGGGCGCAAGCCUGACCCAGCAACGCCGCGUGAAGGAAGAAGGCUUUCGGGUUGUAAACUUCUUUUAUCAGGGACGAACAUAAUGACGGUACCUGAUGAAUAAGCCACGGCUAACUACGUGCCAGCAGCCGCGGUAAUACGUAGGUGGCAAGCGUUAUCCGGAUUUACUGGGUGUAAAGGGCGUGUAGGCGGGCUAGCAAGUCAGAUGUGAAAACUAUGGGCUCAACCCAUAGCCUGCAUUUGAAACUGUUGGUCUUGAGUGCUGGAGAGGCAAUCGGAAUUCCGUGUGUAGCGGUGAAAUGCGUAGAUAUACGGAGGAACACCAGUGGCGAAGGCGGAUUG
This 359-nucleotide ribosomal RNA is filed under the name uncultured Pseudoflavonifractor sp. Its description in RNAcentral is "bacterial SSU rRNA". It matches the Rfam family "Bacterial small subunit ribosomal RNA", at positions 355 to 728 of the family's 1533-position model. Lineage: Bacteria; Bacillati; Bacillota; Clostridia; Eubacteriales; Oscillospiraceae. The record is from RNAcentral.